UUUUCAAAACAGGCUAAAUUUUCAGUCUCUUCGAGUGAGAUUUUACUCCACGAGAUUUAGAGAGUAUGUAACACGUACAUUUU
Long non-coding RNA from Mycetomoellerius zeteki, 83 nucleotides. RefSeq lists it as uncharacterized. NCBI's taxonomy places the organism in Eukaryota, Metazoa, Arthropoda, Insecta, Hymenoptera, Formicidae. The transcript is spliced from 3 exons. The record is from RefSeq and is a predicted model, not a curated record.